GACGAACGCUGGCGGCGUGCUUAACACAUGCAAGUCGAGCGGUAAGGCCCUUUCGGGGGUACACGAGCGGCGAACGGGUGAGUAACACGUGGGUGACCUGCCUUUAGCUCUGGGAUAAGCCUGGGAAACUGGGUCUAAUACCGGAUAUGACUCCGCGGUGCAUGCUGUGGGGUGAAAGCCUUGUGCGGCUGGAGAUGGGCCCGCGGCCUAUCAGCUUGUUGGUGGGGUNAUGGCCUACCAAGGCGACGACGGGUAGCCGGCCUGAGGGGCGACCGGCCACACUGGGACUGAGACACGGCCCAGACUCCUACGGGAGGCAGCAGUGGGGAAUCUUGCGCAAUGGACGAAAGCCUGAUCCAGCAACGCCGCGUGA
RNAcentral lists this ribosomal RNA (373 nucleotides) under uncultured bacterium. Its description in RNAcentral is "bacterial SSU rRNA". It matches the Rfam family "Bacterial small subunit ribosomal RNA", at positions 28 to 404 of the family's 1533-position model. The record is from RNAcentral.